This is an RNA transcript of Lycium ferocissimum, 2033 nucleotides long. RefSeq lists it as uncharacterized. Lineage: Eukaryota; Viridiplantae; Streptophyta; Magnoliopsida; Solanales; Solanaceae. The record is from RefSeq and is a predicted model, not a curated record. The transcript has 5 exons.
CACUUCAUAACCGCCCAACUUCCACCACUAUAUUUAAUUUCUCAUUAUGCUCUCUACAUCUCUUUCUCGUUCUUUCUGUGAGGCAGCAAAGAUGGGUAAAGAAGCGGAGUUUGUUCACCUGAAGAAGAAACCCAUGAAGAAACGCAAAAAGAAUCAACUUCUCAACAAAGUCUUGGAUUAUCUCAUGUCUGACACUUUUAUGUUUGCACCUCUCUAUUCUUCCUCCUCCUCCUCUGUUCCUGAUGGAAUUGAGGAAGAUAAACCCCUGGACAACGUUGGGGAUUAUUUGAAGUCUGAUGACUAUUUGUAUGCCCCCUUGCUUAUUUUCCCACCUCAGGCUUCGGUUCAUGUAUCUAAAGGGCCGGUUCCUAUACAAGAAGAGAUGGACAGAAAGAGAUCUGCUGAUGUGCUAAAAGGAGGGACUGGAAAAGCGGAUGAACCUGGUAGGAAGAUAGUUAAUGUGGUUAGCAAAGAUCAUAACAUGGAUGGUUUUCCUCAUACUAAGAGUCCUAUGGUCACACGUACUCGGGUACGUAGAGAGACUGUGAAGCACAUGAUCUAUCAAAACUGCUGACCUUUAUUUGCGAGUUACCUCAGGUAACUUUGGCUAUGUUGCUCUAUCCUUGAAUCUUGAUGAUGCAAUGCCGGAAUUGAUAUUAACUCGUAAUUGAUUUUUGAACCUGAAGAUGGGUCAAGUCUACGAAGACAUUACCUUUAUAUUUAAGGGAGUUACAAGGGUUCAAUUCUAGGAAGACAUUCCCUUUAAGGAGUUGAACAAUGCACUUUGUAGUUCAAUUCUAGGGAUACAUCACCUUUAACUGAAUUAUGCAAGGCACCUGUGCACUUAAUCUCUAGAAGGAGGCAAGCAGCCUUUGCCACGUUGCUGGCUCCCGGGAAAAAGGACCUUCUUCUACAUUUGACAGUUCUGGAGGCCUCACUGUAGUAGGGGCCUUGAAGAUCUCUUGUAGCUGACCUUACCUUGAUGAGACAGACAUGGAAGGUUGGAAGGUUGUUUCUUAGUGUAGAGGCCUUAUCUUUGUUGUUAGCUUUCAACUCAUUUGUUUGAUAGUAGUCAUGCAUUUCUAUCUAAUUUAAUAGCAUGAGACUCGUUUUACUCUGCUCCAUUCACUGUUAUAUUCCGGAGUUGCACUAACCUGAGAGGCACCUGAAAGGCUGAAACACUUGCACUGGAAACCUGGUCAGAGUUCCUGUCCUAGAUCUUAGUUCUCCUGCUCUUAGAUUCCUUGAUCACAAUCGUCGUCUUCCCUGUCUUUUGGAACUCUAGUUGCAUGCAUUACCAAAAACUCAAUGAGCCUCUAGGGGAAGGAAAGCUACCACAAAAGAAUACAGUGCAUGGAUUAAAUUAUGUUACGUCCUUAUGAUUCUCUGCAAUAUUUUUGCUUUCUUUCAUUCGCACUGGUUUGUCUCUAUUUCAAUCCUACGCUUUUAGGAUUUUAUUGGAUUCACGUUUUCAGGAACUUAAAGCAACCUAUGAUAACUUAACAUCCUGUGUGUUCGAAAUCAGUUUUCGUGAACUAAAACUUAUAAUUCAGCUGAGGACUGAACCUAUUUAUUAUUUCGGCUGGAGGACUUGUUUGGAUGUUCGAAGCAUAGGGAUUUGGUUACCUUCUCUUCCUUCCAUGGUCGAUUCCUCGUCUUCAAUAGAAGGCAGCCGGCUGAUAGAAACAGAACCAAGCAAGGCUUGUGGGAUGAAGUUCGUGUGAUGAUGGGCAGUGCUGCUGCUUAGCUAAUCUGAUUCAAGAUAGUUAUAGCUGGAUUUGUUUACCUAGGUAGUUUCGUUGAGUUUAUACAUUGUAAUAUGAUAAGUGGGUGAGUAUGCUAGUUUUACCCGUCAUUUAGGUCUGGACGUUCAUGCUAAUGUACACACUGUAAUAUGAUAUCCGGGUACAUGUGCUAGUUUUAUGCGUCUUCAUUUAGGCAAAGGACAGUCCAUAGCUAAUGUAUGCAUACAUUGUGUUGCAGCUACAUGUAGCUAUCCCAAUCCGUUGUCACCAAGAACAUUUUCGUCAUUA